GUGCUUGUUUGAACAGCACCUAUACUAAAACCGGAACAAUACAGAGAAGAUUUGCAUGGCCCCCCGGCAAGGAUGACACUCAAAUUUGUAAAGCACCCCAUAUUUCC
This is a small nuclear RNA of Echinops telfairi (small Madagascar hedgehog), 107 nucleotides long. NCBI's taxonomy places the organism in Eukaryota, Metazoa, Chordata, Mammalia, Afrosoricida, Tenrecidae. The record is from Ensembl.